Molecule: RNA transcript, 1891 nt
Organism: Triticum aestivum (bread wheat)
Lineage: Eukaryota; Viridiplantae; Streptophyta; Magnoliopsida; Poales; Poaceae
Gene name: mitogen-activated protein kinase kinase kinase 3
Exons: 11
Source: RefSeq, a predicted model, not a curated record
UUAAAAUACCUCCACGAAGAAUUCAAGGAGCCAAUUUACCAUUUGGACCUAAAACCUGAAAACAUACUGCUAGAUGAGAAUAUGGUACCGAAACUUGCUGAUUUUGGUUCGUCGAAACUCUUUGGCAAAGGACUAACCAUGGUUAUCUCAAAGAAUCUUUCAGCAACAAUUGGGUACGUGCCGCCCGAAUACUAUUCUCAUCAGGUCGUCUCCGAGAAGUUUGACAUAUUCAGCUUAGGUGUUGUAAUGACAAAGAUAAUUGCAGGUCCUAGAGGCAAUUCCUUAAGUGCUGAGAUGGAUUACCAAGACUUUCUUGAUCAAGUACACGAAAACUGGAGGAAAAGGUUCCAGGAGAAAUGGCAUAAUUCCGAACUACUACAAGCAUAUUGCCAACAAGUGAACAUAUGCAUAACAAUAGCACUGAGCUGCAUGGAUUGUGAUAGGUUCAAAAGACCCAGUAUACUGGAUAUUAUCAAUGAACUGAACGAGAGUGAAACUGUAAUCGAAGAGUUGAACCCUGAUCACCGAUGGACAAGGAUAUCAGAUGCAAAUAGAACACCAGCCAUUGAUUCCCAGAAACAAAGUCUUGCGCUAGAAGAAGUGCGCUUUCUCGUAAAUAAUCUGACUUUGGAGAAUAACAGAUUGUGUGAACCCUCAGUUUCUCCAAGAAAAGAAUUUCACCCUAACAUCUUGGAUCUUCCAAGUGAUCAAAGGACAUCCUACCGUGGCCAAAAAUCAACAGAAAUUUUGGUCCCUACACGGUUGCCGAACUCUCCCCCUAGUUCAAGAGGCAAACACUGUCCAAGGUCACAUGUGCAUUCAAUAGCACUUGGGCGCCCAGGAUACCCUACUGCGUGGCAGGAUGAUGCACGGAGCAUAAGCCCACCACACCCACUUCCUCUUCCUCUUCCUCUUCCUCCAGGCGUCCCUUGCACAUCUUCCUGUUUCCUCCAUUCGCAGUGGAAGAAGGGGAAGUUAUUAGGCAGUGGUACAUUUGGGCAAGUAUACCUCGGAGUGAACAGUGAAAGUGGCCAACUGUGUGCAAUUAAAGAGAUUAAGGUUAUUGCUGGCGAUUCAAAGUCAAAAGAGUGUCUGAGGCAGCUAAAUCAGGAAAUUAUGCUCCUAAAUCAUCUUUCUCAUCCAAAUAUUGUGCGGUACUAUGGCAGUGAACUGGUAAAUACAAAAGAAAUGGGUUACUAUGGCAGUGAACUGUCUAGUGAAACACUCUCGCUCUAUCUUGAGUUUGUUUCUGGGGGCUCUAUACGUAAGUUGCUUAGAGAAUAUGGUCCAUUUGAAGAGGCAGUCCUCCGGAAUUACACUGCACAGAUCCUUUCUGGCCUUGCAUACUUGCAUAGGCGGAAUAUAGUGCACAGGGAUAUCAAAGGAGCAAAUGUAUUUGUAAAUUGUAAUGGUGACAUCAAACUCGCAGAUUUCAGUAUGACCAAUCAUGUAAAUAUCAGCAGCCACAUCGAUGAGAUCCUUCAAAGGAAACCCUUACUGGAUGGCUCCAGAGGUUAUCAUGAAUACCAAUGCAUAUAGCCUUUCAGUGGACAUUUGGAGCCUUGGCUGCACCAUUCUUGAGAUGGCAAGUGCAAGGCCUCCUUGGAGUCAGUACGAAGGGGUGGCUGCAAUAUUCAAAAUUGCAAACAGCAAAGACAUACCUGGUAUCCCAGAUCAUCUUUCUUCUGAAGCAAAAAGCUUUCUGAAACUCUGUUUGCAGCGUGAUCCUGCUGCGCGUCCGACUGCUGAUCAAUUAAUCGUACAUCCGUGGGUGAAAGACCAAGCAUCAGUUACCAAGGCUCCUGUCAAAUAGUGGUUUAUAUUAGGAAUCUGCUUGUACUCUGUAUGAUAGCCAUCUAUGGGUAGAUGACAUUAUCUCUCAUAUUGGUUA